GAUGAAGAACGCAGCGAAAUGCGAUAAGUAAUGUGAAUUGCAGAAUUCAGUGAAUCAUCGAAUCUUUGAACGCACAUUGCGCCCGGUAGUAUUCUGCCGGGCAUGCCUGUUCGAGCGUCAUUUCAACCAUCAAGCCCCAGCGCUUGUGUUGGGGGCCUGCGGCUGCCGCAGCCCCCUAAAAGCAGUGGCGGGCUCGCUAUCACACCGAGUGCAGUAGUUCAUCUUCUCUCCGGUCUUGUGAGGCGGGUUCCGGCCGUGAAACACCCCACUACAUUCAAGGUUGACCUCGGAUCAGGUAGGAAUACCAGCUGAACUUAAGCAUAUCAAUAAGCGGAGGA
This 338-nucleotide unclassified non-coding RNA is filed under the name soil metagenome. Its description in RNAcentral is "partial contains 5.8S ribosomal RNA, internal transcribed spacer 2, and large subunit ribosomal RNA". The stretch from base 1 to 120 matches the Rfam family "5.8S ribosomal RNA", at positions 35 to 154 of the family's 154-position model. The record is from RNAcentral.